RNAcentral lists this long non-coding RNA (2026 nucleotides) under Mytilus galloprovincialis (Mediterranean mussel). The record is from RNAcentral. Lineage: Eukaryota; Metazoa; Mollusca; Bivalvia; Mytilida; Mytilidae.
AACAAAUGUCAUUCAAGAACAUAUAUAACCAAAAAUGUUCAGAAACUUAUUGCAGUAUUUUAAUUAAUCUGCCAAAAUCAAAAGUGUCAAAAAGAUGAAAAGUACCAAAGAACUGCUGCAAGUAAUUAAAAAAUCAGUGCUUACAUUAUAAAGCAUUUAAUAACUAUUAUAGAAAUUUCUAUUUUUGAAUUGAAAAUGUAUUUUUAUAACUGUGUUUGUCUUCUUUGUUGGAGCUAUAGAUAGCUAUAUGGUAUAAUCAUUGUAAAAGUUAUAUGUGUAGAUCUAAUAGUUUAUGUACCUUAAAUUUGGUUGUAUUUUGGGUUCUGCCUCAUGUUAGAGAAAACAUAGGAUUAGUUCAUGUUGCAAUUAGAAAAAAAUAAUAUAUUUACACAAAUUAUAAAAAAAAAGAUAUGAUUUGCAUUUGUCUAACAUUUGUCAUUGUUAUAUAUAACCUACAGGUGGAUUAUGUAUGGAAAUUUGUUGACUGUAUUUGAUCAGAAUUUAUGCUAGUCUUUAGAAACUUUUCUAGUCUAUCUAAUCUAUAUUUCUGGUCAGAUUGAUCUUAUUGUUGUUGGGUUUUACUUCAGUAUUUCUUAUUUUAAAAAAGGGUCCGUUGUUAUAGGCUCUCAUUCAACGAUCUGAAACAAAACGGGAUUUUGUGUUAAAAAUGUUUUGGAAUUUUUCUAAACAAAUUUAAUAUUAUUUGAUCUGAAUAUAGCAUUUUGAGGUUUGAAUAUCUGCAUUGUGUUUUAUUACCAAAGUAGGUAGAGCCUAUUCAUUGAAAAAAACGAUAAAUAUCCAGAUUAUUUAUAGAAUUUAUAAAAAAUCAAUCGCCCAAUAUUCCUUUCUAUAUAAGUAUGUUAAUAAACUUUAUUCAAAUUACUUUUCUCUGACUUACUUGUGAAUCUGAAGCUAUCCAUGACCUAUUGGAUGCCGGUCAAGAUCUAUUUUAAGAUUGUAUUUGCUUUACAAUACAAUGUGUACAAUAAUGCAAAUUAUGUCCUUUGUAAUGUCAUAUAGUUGAAUUAUAUAUAUAAGGUUGUAAUUAGAUAAUUUAUUGACUGUGUUAAUAUGCGAAAGAUGUUUUUGUGAUAAAUUUGUUGUUUGUAGAAAAACAAUUUUAUAAUUCUUGUUGUGUUUUAAUAAAUUCUAACUGUUACUUUCUGUGAUGUAGAUAUACUUGUUUUUUUAUCUGACGCUUUUGUAAAAGAAAAUGUGAGAACCUUUCAUAGAAGUAGCAUUUUUUGUCUACCUCUCCUUCAUUUAGAUUCUUACAUGAGUUCAUCUGAAUACCAAGCAUUAUAAUUUGUAUUAUAGCCCAUGCUGCAAAGUAACUGGUGUAUAUUACCUGUCCUUCAUUUAGACAGUCUGUCAGUCAUUUUAGGUUUUCAAUUAUAAAUCAAAUAUUUUACAUGGUAUUGUAACCUUACUUGGAUAUAUGGUCACUUCAUCCCUUUUGAUAACAAAGUCAUUAGGUCGAAGUUUAAGGUCAAGGCUACUAAACAUAUAGAUUUGUGUAAGAUAUUACUGUCUGAAAACAGGAAAAAAAUCUUAACUUAGAUAAAAUAUGCCAUAAAGUUACUAUAAUCUGUUCCUUUGUAGAAGUAUGUUGAGGUAUAUAAGCUUGUUCAAUUAAGGUUCUUUAAUUAAGGAAUGACUGUAAUAUUUUUUCUGCUUAUGAAGAAAUAACAUAAAAAAUUUGGUGCACACUGAAUAACGCACGUAGCGGGUUAUUUAACAGUGUGCACCACAUUUUUUAUGUUAUUUCGAAUAGACAGAAAAAUAAUAUUACAGUCAUUUCUUAUAAUUUAAUUCUUAAUUCAAUUUUAAACCGUAAAAACCUUGAAAAAACAUUGAUGACGUCACGGUCACAUGACUAAAUUAUGUCUAUGGUCUGAUAACAAAAUAACGUCGGCCAAUCAGAAGACGCGUUUCAUCCAAAAUUAAAUUAUUUUCGGAUAUUGAUAAGAACCAUAAUAUUUAUACGAAAAUUCAAACAGAUUGUUUCCAACUUUACAGGAAAUUG